Molecule: ribosomal RNA, 581 nt
Filed under: uncultured bacterium
Lineage: Bacteria
Description: bacterial SSU rRNA
Rfam family: Bacterial small subunit ribosomal RNA
Source: RNAcentral
ACUCCUACGGGAGGCAGCAACGAGGAAUAUUGGUCAAUGGGCGAGAGCCUGAACCAGCCAUGCCGCGUGCAGGAUGAAGGCCUUAUGGGUUGUAAACUGCUGUUCUAUGGGAAUAAACCCCCGGACGUGUCGGGCAUUGACGGUACCGUAAGAAUAAGCAUCGGCUAACUCCGUGCCAGCAGCCGCGGUAAUACGGAGGGUGCAAGCGUUGUCCGGAUUUAUUGGGUUUAAAGGGUGCGCAGGCGGAAUUGUAAGUUAGUGGUGAAAUCCUGGGGCUCAACGGUAGACCUGCCAUUGAUACUGCUUUUCUUGAGUGUGGUUGAGGUGGGCGGAAUGUAGGGUGUAGCGGUGAAAUGCAUAGAUAUCACACGGAACACCAAUUGCGAAGGCAGCCUGCUAGACUGUAACUGACGCUCAGGCACGAAAGCGUGGGGAGCGAACAGGAUUAGAUACCCUGGUAGUCCACGCCGUAAACGAUGAUUACUGGCUGUUGGCGAUAUACAGUAAGCGGCUUAGCGAAAGCAUUAAGUGAUCCACCUGGGGAGUACGGUCGCAAGGUUGAAACUCAAAGGAAUUGACGG